This 601-nucleotide ribosomal RNA is filed under the name Arthrobacter sp. cp15. RNAcentral's name for it is "bacterial SSU rRNA". It matches the Rfam family "Bacterial small subunit ribosomal RNA", at positions 837 to 1437 of the family's 1533-position model. The record is from RNAcentral. Lineage: Bacteria; Bacillati; Actinomycetota; Actinomycetes; Micrococcales; Micrococcaceae.
UUUUCCGCGCCGUAGCUAACGCAUUAAGUGCCCCGCCUGGGGAGUACGGCCGCAAGGCUAAAACUCAAAGGAAUUGACGGGGGCCCGCACAAGCGGCGGAGCAUGCGGAUUAAUUCGAUGCAACGCGAAGAACCUUACCAAGGCUUGACAUGAACCGGAAAGACCUGGAAACAGGUGCCCCGCUUGCGGUCGGUUUACAGGUGGUGCAUGGUUGUCGUCAGCUCGUGUCGUGAGAUGUUGGGUUAAGUCCCGCAACGAGCGCAACCCUCGUUCUAUGUUGCCAGCGCGUUAUGGCGGGGACUCAUAGGAGACUGCCGGGGUCAACUCGGAGGAAGGUGGGGACGACGUCAAAUCAUCAUGCCCCUUAUGUCUUGGGCUUCACGCAUGCUACAAUGGCCGGUACAAAGGGUUGCGAUACUGUGAGGUGGAGCUAAUCCCAAAAAGCCGGUCUCAGUUCGGAUUGGGGUCUGCAACUCGACCCCAUGAAGUCGGAGUCGCUAGUAAUCGCAGAUCAGCAACGCUGCGGUGAAUACGUUCCCGGGCCUUGUACACACCGCCCGUCAAGUCACGAAAGUUGGUAACACCCGAAGCCGGUGGCCUA